AAAAUUACAAUGAAGAGAAGAGUAGGUGUGGAUGCUGUGAAGAGAGAGCCGGGAUGGUGAAAGCCGGUGACAGAAAAAGCAUUGAAGAUGGCCUCGGAGUAAGUUUGGGUGAAUCGUUUAGCCCGAACCGCUUGACGCGAUAAAACUUAAAGUUUUAAAAACUUAUGAAGGCAUUAUUUGUGAGAAUAAUGUGAACUAAGGUGGUAACGCGAACCCUUCGCCCUUAAC
This is a non-coding RNA of Acetobacterium wieringae, 228 nucleotides long. The record is from Rfam. NCBI's taxonomy places the organism in Bacteria, Bacillati, Bacillota, Clostridia, Eubacteriales, Eubacteriaceae.